CGUGUAGGCGGCCUAUUAAGUCAGGUGUGAAAGCCCUUAGCUCAACUAAGGAAUGUCAUCUGAAACUACUAGGCUUGAGUACGGGAGAGGAGAGUGGAAUUCCCGGUGUAGAGGUGAAAUUCGUAGAUAUCGGGAGGAACACCCGUGGCGAAGGCGACUCUCUGGACCGAUACUGACGCUGAGACGCGAAAGCGUGGGGAGCAAACA
This 207-nucleotide ribosomal RNA is filed under the name uncultured bacterium. Its description in RNAcentral is "partial 16S ribosomal RNA". It matches the Rfam family "Bacterial small subunit ribosomal RNA", at positions 568 to 774 of the family's 1533-position model. The record is from RNAcentral.